RNAcentral lists this ribosomal RNA (374 nucleotides) under uncultured organism. RNAcentral's name for it is "bacterial SSU rRNA". It matches the Rfam family "Bacterial small subunit ribosomal RNA", at positions 526 to 896 of the family's 1533-position model. The record is from RNAcentral.
CGUAGGUGGCAAGCGUUGUCCGGAAUUAUUGGGCGUAAAGCGCGCGCAGGCGGUUCCUUAAGUCUGAUGUGAAAGCCCCCGGCUCAACCGGGGAAGGUCAUUGGGAAACUGGGGAACUUGAGUGCAGAAGAGAAGAGCGGAAUUCCACGUGUAGCGGUGAAAUGCGUAGAGAUGUGGAGGAACACCAGUGGCGAAGGCGGCUCUUUGGUCUGUAACUGACGCUGAGGCGCGAAAGCGUGGGGAGCAAACAGGAUUAGAUACCCUGGUAGUCCACGCCGUAAACGAUGAGUGCUAAGUGUUAGAGGGUUUCCGCCCUUUAGUGCUGCAGCUAACGCAUUAAGCACUCCGUCCUGGGGAGUACGGCCGCAAGGCUG